AUCAUGGCUCAGAAUGAACGCUGGCAAUAAACUUUAGACAUGCGAGUCAAAAAUUGUGAGAUUCUCAUAAUUUGGCAUACGGGUGCGUAAUAUUUAGGGAUAUACCUUAAAGUUGGGGAUAAUUAAAUCUGAGCAAUCAGAGAAGAUUGGUUGUAAAACCAAUGAUAAUAAUACCCAAUAAUUCAUAAAGAUUAAUCGCUUUAAGAUGUUCCUAUAUAAGAUUAGGUUGUUGGUGGGGUUAAGCUUACCAAGCCGAUGAUCUUUAGUUGAUCUGAGAGGUUGAUCAACCACAAUGGGACUGAGACACGGCCCAUUCUUUUUAUUAAGACAGCAGUCGGGAAUAUUGGACAAUGGGCGAAAGCCUGAUCCAGUUAUAUUGCGUGAGCUACGAAUAAGUUUAAAAAGCUCUUUUGACAAAGAAGAUGAUGACUCUUUGUAGAAUAAAUCCUGGCCAAUCCUGUGCCAGCAGCCGCGGUAAUACAGGAAGGAUUAGCGUUAUUCUUAAUAACUGGGCGUAAAGGGUGCGCAGGUGAUAUUGAUAAAUAAAACAAAAAAGCGAAGCUCAACUUCGAAAAAAAUUUUAUUUAGAAUUAUAUUUGAGUUAGACAGAGGAUAAUAGAAUUUCUAGUGUAGUGAUAAAAUACUUAGAGAUUAGAAGGAACAUCAAUGGCGAAGGCAAUUAUCUAGGUCUAAACUGACACUCAGGCACGAAAGCAUAGGGAGCAAACAGGAUUAGAGACCCUGGUAGUCUAUUGCUGUAAACGAUGAAUAUUAAAUGUUGGAAACUUAGGAAGUUUUCA
Molecule: ribosomal RNA, 800 nt
Filed under: uncultured bacterium
Lineage: Bacteria
Description: bacterial SSU rRNA
Rfam family: Bacterial small subunit ribosomal RNA
Source: RNAcentral